RNAcentral lists this transfer RNA (76 nucleotides) under Streptomyces sp. CB03234. Its description in RNAcentral is "tRNA-Arg". It matches the Rfam family "tRNA". Rfam says of the family: Transfer RNA (tRNA) molecules are approximately 80 nucleotides in length. Their secondary structure includes four short double-helical elements and three loops (D, anti-codon, and T loops). Lineage: Bacteria; Bacillati; Actinomycetota; Actinomycetes; Kitasatosporales; Streptomycetaceae. The record is from RNAcentral.
GCCUCCGUAGCUCAGGGGAUAGAGCACCGCUCUCCUAAAGCGGGUGUCGCAGGUUCGAAUCCUGCCGGGGGCACGA